CCUACGGGUGGCAGCAGUGAGGAAUAUUGGUCAAUGGACGCAAGUCUGAACCAGCCAAGCCGCGUGAAGGAUGACUGCCCUAUGGGUUGUAAACUUCUUUUAUAUGGGAAUAAAGUUGAGUAUGUAUACUGUUUUGUAUGUAUCUUAUGAAUCAGGAUCGGCUAACUCCGUUCCAUCAGCCGCGGUAAUACGGAGGGUACGAGCGUUAUCCGGAUUUAUUGGGUUUAAAGGGAGCGUAGGCGGGCGCGUAAGUCAGUUGUGAAAAUCUGCGGCUCAACCGUAGAAUUGCAUUUGAUAGUGGGGGUCUUGAGAGCAGGAGAGGGAGGCGGAAUGCAUGGUGUAGCGGUGAAAUGCUUAGAUAUAACGAAGAACACCGAUUGCGAAGGCAGCUUACUGGACUGUAACUGACGCUGAGGCACGAAAGUGUGGGGAGCAAACAGGAUUAGAUACCCCUGUAGUC
RNAcentral lists this ribosomal RNA (460 nucleotides) under uncultured bacterium. RNAcentral's name for it is "partial 16S ribosomal RNA". It matches the Rfam family "Bacterial small subunit ribosomal RNA", at positions 338 to 795 of the family's 1533-position model. The record is from RNAcentral.